GACGAACCGUGCGAACGUUAUUCGGAAUCACUGGGCUUAAAGCGCGUGUAGGCGGGCCGGCACGUCCGCGGCUGAAAUCCCCCGGCUCAACCGGGGAAGGGGCCCGGAUACGACCGGCCUGGAGGGGGGUAGGGGGCGCCGGAACUCACGGUGGAGCGGUGAAAUGCGUUGAGAUCAUGAGGAACGCCCGUGGCGAAAGCGGGCGCCUGGACCCCGCCUGACGCUGAGACGCGAAAGCCAGGGGAGCGAACG
Molecule: ribosomal RNA, 252 nt
Filed under: uncultured prokaryote
Description: partial 16S ribosomal RNA
Rfam family: Bacterial small subunit ribosomal RNA
Source: RNAcentral